GACGAACGCUGGCGGCAUGCCUAACACAUGCAAGUCGAACGAGACCUUCGGGUCUUGCGGCGCAGGGGUGCGUAACGAGUGGGAACCUGCACUUAGGUUCGGAAUCACUGCCCGAGGGGGGUGCUAAUACCGGAUAAUGUCAUAGUACAUACGAUUGAUCGCCUUGGGAUGGGUCCGCGUUGGAUUAGCUGGUUGGUAGGGUGAAAGCCUGCCAAGGCGACGAUCCAUGGCUGGUCUGUGAGGAGGCUCAGCCACACUUGGACGGAGGCACGGCCCAGUCUCCGACGGGACGCAGCAGAAUGGUGUAUUAGACGCGGGACGAAAGCCUAAUCCAGCCAUGCCGCGGAAGAGAUGAAGGCCUUAGGGUUGUAAAGCUCUUUGACCCGAGAUGAUAAUGACAGUACCUGCAGAAGAAGCUCCGGCUAACUCCGUG
RNAcentral lists this ribosomal RNA (433 nucleotides) under uncultured bacterium. Its description in RNAcentral is "partial 16S ribosomal RNA". It matches the Rfam family "Bacterial small subunit ribosomal RNA", at positions 28 to 507 of the family's 1533-position model. The record is from RNAcentral.